UUUUGACUGUGCAAAGGUAGCAUAAUUAUUAGUUUUUUAAUUGGAAACUGGAAUGAAUGGUUGGACGAGAAAGAUUCUGUCUCUAUUUUANUUUAAUUAGAAAUUUAUUUUUAAGUUAAAAAGCUUAAAUAUAUUUAAAAGACGAGAAGACCCUAUAGAGUUUUAUAUAUAUAUAAUAUUAAAAUAUAAAGUAUUAAGUUUUUAAUAUUAUAAGUAUAUUUAGUUGGGGUGAUUUAAAAAUUUAAUUAACUUUUUAUUUAUAAAAACAUUAAUUUAUGAAUAUAUGAUCCAUUAUUUAUGAUAAAAGAU
RNAcentral lists this ribosomal RNA (309 nucleotides) under Lethrus kentauensis. Its description in RNAcentral is "partial 16S ribosomal RNA". The record is from RNAcentral. Lineage: Eukaryota; Metazoa; Arthropoda; Insecta; Coleoptera; Geotrupidae.